AUUAAUUCAUAUAUUAUUAUUAACUAAUUAAUAUAAUUAUUACCAUCGUCCGCCAAUCUUUUUGAUCGAAAUAUUAAAAAUAGCAGAUCUUUUGACAAAAGAAAAAGGGAGCCUUGCCUUAUUGAGCACGUAGAAGCUGCCUAAUUUUUGGCUAGAAGCCGGCCCCAAUAUGUAAUAAUUGCAAUGUGUAAUAAUUGCAGGACCAUCUCAUAUGAUUUUGAUUAAUUUGGAAACAUAUCGUAAAUUCAAUUGCUUCUAGAAGGCAUGUAAUGCAUGGGACCUAAUGUUAUCUUGUAGCUUUCUUUAAUUUAGUUUCCUUUUAUAGGAUGGGCAUGUGAAGGUACCCCUCACAUUUUGGCAACAAACUUGUUGCAUAAAAGAAAAGAAACACAGAUUUAUUCUUGCAAUGUAUGUAGAAACAUUUGCAAUUGAACUAUUAAAGUUUUGGGUAAUGAUUUCCUCCCAUAGUUUUUAUGAAUUCAUCUUAUUUUUAAAAAAUAAUUACAAAAAUAUACAUUAU
This 520-nucleotide long non-coding RNA is filed under the name Citrus x clementina. Its description in RNAcentral is "Citrus clementina (C. clementina) long non-coding RNA (CCLE_LNC004270)". The record is from RNAcentral. Lineage: Eukaryota; Viridiplantae; Streptophyta; Magnoliopsida; Sapindales; Rutaceae.